AACGAACGCUGGCGGCAUGCCUAACACAUGCAAGUCGAACGAGACCUUCGGGCCUUUGUGCGCACGUGUGGGGGAGGCCUGGGGAGCAACCCUUAGGUUAGGAAUCACUGCCCGUGGGGGGAGUUAAUACCGGUUAGUGUCUUACGGCCAAGGAUUUAUCGCCGUUGGAUGGGCCCUGGUUGGUUUAGCCGGUUGGUAGUGUAAAAGCCUACCAUGGCGACGAUGCUUAGCUGGUCGGAGAGCAUGAUCUGCCAGACUGGGACUGCGACACGGCCGAGACUGCUACGCGAGGGAGCAGUGGGGAAUAUUGGACGAUGGGCGCAAGCCUGAUCCCGCCAUGCCGCGUAAGUGAUGAAGGCCGUAGGGUUGUAAAGCUCUUUUACCCGAGAUGAUAAUGACAGUACCGGGAGAAUAAGCUCCGGCCAACUCCGUG
RNAcentral lists this ribosomal RNA (433 nucleotides) under uncultured bacterium. RNAcentral describes it as "partial 16S ribosomal RNA". It matches the Rfam family "Bacterial small subunit ribosomal RNA", at positions 29 to 507 of the family's 1533-position model. The record is from RNAcentral.